Molecule: transfer RNA, 70 nt
Filed under: Gymnocypris potanini
Lineage: Eukaryota; Metazoa; Chordata; Actinopteri; Cypriniformes; Cyprinidae
Description: tRNA-Arg
Rfam family: tRNA
About the family: Transfer RNA (tRNA) molecules are approximately 80 nucleotides in length. Their secondary structure includes four short double-helical elements and three loops (D, anti-codon, and T loops).
Source: RNAcentral
AGGGAGUUAGUCCAAGGUAAGACCUCUGAUUUCGACUCAGAAGAUUGCGGUUCAACUCCACAGCCCCCUU